UGUGUUAGUAGCUCAGCACCUAGAGCUCCG
This 30-nucleotide transfer RNA is filed under the name Fundulus lineolatus (lined topminnow). RNAcentral's name for it is "partial tRNA-Thr". Lineage: Eukaryota; Metazoa; Chordata; Actinopteri; Cyprinodontiformes; Fundulidae. The record is from RNAcentral.